ACUUCACACUCCACUCUUCCUUGGAGAGCCAUCCUCCAUUUCCUGCAGGUCUGGUCAGAGCCCCUUUCAUAGAAAUGGAAACACUUACUUGAAUUGGUUUCUGCAGAAGCCAGGCCAACCUCUAAAGUGCCUGAUUUAUGAAGUUUCUAACAGGAAGUCUGGGGUCUCAGGCAGGUUCAGCAGCAGUGGUUCAGGGACAGAUUUCAUAUUGAAAAUCAGCAGGGUAGAGGCUGAGGACGUUGGGGUUUAUUACUGCCUGCAA
RNAcentral lists this long non-coding RNA (262 nucleotides) under Homo sapiens (human). RNAcentral's name for it is "non-protein coding lnc-RPIA-18:1". Lineage: Eukaryota; Metazoa; Chordata; Mammalia; Primates; Hominidae. The record is from RNAcentral.